GAGUUUGAUUCUGGCUCAGAACGAACGCUGCAGCGUGGAUUAGGCAUGCAAGUCGAACGUGAAGCCAAUGAACAAUCUUUCGGGAGAGUGAUUUGGUGGAAAGUGGCGAAAGGGUGAGUAACGCGUGGGUAAGCUACCCUGAAGUUUGGGACAACCCGCCGAAAGGCGGGCUAAUACCGAAUGUGGUCACUGGAUGCAUAUCCGGAUGACUAAAGGUGGGGAUCUUUCGGGACCUGCCGCUUUUGGCGGUGCCCGCGUGCCAUCAGCUUGUUGGUAGGGUAACGGCCUACCAAGGCUUACGGCUAGCGGCCUGAGGGGGUGACCGGCCACACUGGGACUGAGACACUGCCCAGACUCCUACGGGAGGCUGCAGUCGAGGAUCAUUCGCAAUGCGCGAAAGCGUGACGAUGCGACGCUGCGUGGAGGAUGAAGGCCUUCGGGUCGUAAACUCCUGUCAUGAGGGAACAGCCAUUCUACUCCUAAUACGAGUAGGACUCGAUGGUACCUCAAGAGGAAGCCACGGCUAACUCUGUGCCAGCAGCCGCGGUAAUACAGAGGUGGCGAGCGUUGUUCGGAUUUACUGGGCGUAAAGGGUGCGUAGGUGGUUUCGUGUGUCGGAUGUGAAAGCCCAUGGCUCAACCGUGGAAUUGCAUUCGAAACUGCGGAACUAGAGUGCAGGAUGGGAGAGCGGAAUUCUUGGUGUAGCGGUGAAAUGCGUUGAUAUCAAGAAGAACACCGGUGGCGAAGGCGGCUCUCUGGAAUGUCACUGACACUGAGGCACGAAAGCUGGGGGAGCAAACAGGAUUAGAUACCCUGGUAGUCCCAGCCGUAAACGGUGCACACUUGGUGUGGGGAGAUUUAACCCUCUCCGUGCCGGAGCUAACGCGUUAAGUGUGCCGCCUGGGGAGUACGGCCGCAAGGCUAAAACUCAAAGAAAUUGACGGGGGCCCGCACAAGCGGAGGAGCAUGUGGCUUAAUUCGAUGCAACGCGAAGAACCUUACCAGGGCUUGACAUAUACCUGCACGCCCCUCGAAAGGGGGGAAGCCUUUGAGGGUGGUAUACAGGUGCUGCAUGGCUGUCGUCAGUUCGUGCUGUGAGGUGUUGGGUUAAGUCCCGUAACGAACGCAACCCUUGUGGUUAGUUGCCACCGGCGGUGAUGAGCCGUCGAGCACUCUAGCCAGACUGCCCGUACAAGCGGGAGGAAGGUGGGGAUGACGUCAAGUCAGUAUGGCCCUUACGCCCUGGGCUGCACACGUGCUACAAUGGACGGUACAAUGGGCUGCAAUACCGCGAGGUGGAGCAAAUCCGGAAAACCGUCCUCAGUUCGGAUUGGAGUCUGCAACUCGACUCCAUGAAGUUGGAUUCGCUAGUAACGGCGCAUCAGCUACGGCGCCGUGAAUACGUUCCCGGGCCUUGUACACACCGCCCGUCACAUCAUGAAAGCCGUCUGCACCCGAAGUCGCUGAUCCAACCCGCAAGGGAGGAAGGUGCCGAAGGUGAGGGUGGUGAUUGGG
RNAcentral lists this ribosomal RNA (1515 nucleotides) under metagenome. RNAcentral's name for it is "bacterial SSU rRNA". It matches the Rfam family "Bacterial small subunit ribosomal RNA". The record is from RNAcentral.